UCCCAUCCCGAACACAGAAGUUAAGCUCUGCAGAGCCGAUGGUACUUGGACCGCAGGGUCCUGGGAGAGUAGGACGUCGCUAGGC
This 85-nucleotide ribosomal RNA is filed under the name Tumebacillus sp. BK434. The record is from RNAcentral. Lineage: Bacteria; Bacillati; Bacillota; Bacilli; Caryophanales; Alicyclobacillaceae.